Long non-coding RNA from Drosophila sechellia, 1131 nucleotides. RefSeq lists it as uncharacterized. The record is from RefSeq and is a predicted model, not a curated record. The transcript has 3 exons. NCBI's taxonomy places the organism in Eukaryota, Metazoa, Arthropoda, Insecta, Diptera, Drosophilidae.
UCUAGCUGGCUUAGCUCUAAAAUUCAUCAAAAUUAAAAUGCUAAUAUUUUUCGUUUUUUAUUUAUAUUUUGGUACUGCAUCCUGUUUAUUUAUUCUGGAAGCUCGUUCUUGGGACGCAUAAUUUUACGAACCAGUUUAAAAAUAGAUGCACUGCGAAUCUUUUUUUACCAGUUGAAUCCAUUUGAGCCUGAAUAAAUUUGAUAUCUCACAAGCCAUUUGAUUUGCCAAGAAUAUGCAGAACAGACCGUGAAGUUCGUUCCCCCGUCACAGUCAUUUAGAAUUGUACCCAAAAUUGGGUCGGCUUUUGAGUAUCUGAAGCGUUUGGCAGCGAAGAGGGCUGGGCAAUUGAAACGGCCUACCGACCUGGCCUACACCCAUACACGUGCAACUGGGAGGGUGGCUCACACGGAUAGGAAACCGCACGGUCCCUACACGAUGCCCCCAGUAUUCAUGUGCUGCCAAAGGAGGGGAAACUAAAUCAAGGUAAUCUUGACAAAACCGCUUGAGAAGAAACCAAGUCAAGGCCAAAAGCUUUUCAAGUGGUGCGAAGCAUCAGCGAGGGCAAACCACAUCAAAAUCAAGUCAAAACCUAGACAAACACACUUGUUAGCUUAUCAUGUUACCCAUGUUAAGCGUAUUAAUGGCAGAGAAGACGGCGACAACGAUGACAACAACGACAAUAAAAGGGCGUCAGCCAGGCAAACAAACAAGCAAACAAACAUCGAGGAUGAAGUAAAAUAUUAAUAGCCAGCUACUAAAAUAGCACGAGCCUGAAUCCAACACAAAGAAUCAGCAUGGGGGCCACCAAGGAGCCAACGAGUUUUGAGGUCUCCCGAAACCGGAGGACAGUGGGUGGCUGGGCUGCUGGUGGUUAAGCCACUUGGUAAGUCCUGGCUCAGACAGAACUUGGUGAGCAGCCAACCAUGAUGCCAUCGCCCACAUGCCUGUUUGUGGAACUCUGGCUUAACCUCAGAAUUGUGUGCGGAUGGCUGUUAAUGUUUCAUCUGGGCUGAAACCAGACUGCGUAAUUAUUACUAUAAUUUAUGCGGAAAUAGUUUGUUUCGAAAUUGAGAAGUACAUCUGUAUGUACCCGCGAACUCCUGGGAAGGCCAACUUUGUUUGUCAAAAUAA